Gasterosteus aculeatus (three-spined stickleback) is the source of this 109-nucleotide ribosomal RNA. Lineage: Eukaryota; Metazoa; Chordata; Actinopteri; Perciformes; Gasterosteidae. The record is from Ensembl.
AUGGACUGCCAUACCUCUCUGGCUCCGCCUGAUCUCAGAAGGUAAGCAGAGUAGGGCCUGGUUAGUACUUGGAUGGAAGGCCGCCUGGGAAUCCCAGGUGCCAUAAGUA